UGGGGAAUAUUGCACAAUGGGCGCAAGCCUGAUGCAGCCAUGCCGCGUGUGUGAAGAAGGCCUUCGGGUUGUAAAGCACUUUCAACGGGGAGGAAGGCGAUAAGGUUAAUAACCUUGUCGAUUGACGUUACCCGCAGAAGAAGCACCGGCUAACUCCGUGCCAGCAGCCGCGGUAAUACGGAGGGUGCAAGCGUUAAUCGGAAUUACUGGGCGUAAAGCGCACGCAGGCGGUCUGUCAAGUCGUAUGUGAAAUCCCCGGGCUCAACCUGGGAACUGCAUUCGAAACUGGCAGGCUAGAGUCUUGUAGAGGGGGGUAGAAUUCCAGGUGUAGCGGUGAAAUGCGUAGAGAUCUGGAGGAAUACCGGUGGCGAAGGCGGCCCCCUGGACAAAGACUGACGCUCAGGUGCGAAAGCGUGGGGAGCAAACAGG
RNAcentral lists this ribosomal RNA (429 nucleotides) under Chloroflexota bacterium. RNAcentral describes it as "Chloroflexi bacterium partial 16S ribosomal RNA". It matches the Rfam family "Bacterial small subunit ribosomal RNA", at positions 355 to 776 of the family's 1533-position model. Lineage: Bacteria; Bacillati; Chloroflexota. The record is from RNAcentral.